RNAcentral lists this ribosomal RNA (714 nucleotides) under Staphylococcus aureus. RNAcentral's name for it is "partial 23S ribosomal RNA". It matches the Rfam family "Bacterial large subunit ribosomal RNA", at positions 1573 to 2287 of the family's 2925-position model. Lineage: Bacteria; Bacillati; Bacillota; Bacilli; Caryophanales; Staphylococcaceae. The record is from RNAcentral.
AAGACAUUGUGUCUUCGAGUCGUUGAUUUCACACUGCCGAGAAAAGCCUCUAGAUAGAAAAUAGGUGCCCGUACCGCAAACCGACACAGGUAGUCAAGAUGAGAAUUCUAAGGUGAGCGAGCGAACUCUCGUUAAGGAACUCGGCAAAAUGACCCCGUAACUUCGGGAGAAGGGGUGCUCUUUAGGGUUAACGCCCAGAAGAGCCGCAGUGAAUAGGCCCAAGCGACUGUUUAUCAAAAACACAGGUCUCUGCUAAACCGUAAGGUGAUGUAUAGGGGCUGACGCCUGCCCGGUGCUGGAAGGUUAAGAGGAGUGGUUAGCUUCUGCGAAGCUACGAAUCGAAGCCCCAGUAAACGGCGGCCGUAACUAUAACGGUCCUAAGGUAGCGAAAUUCCUUGUCGGGUAAGUUCCGACCCGCACGAAAGGCGUAACGAUUUGGGCACUGUCUCAACGAGAGACUCGGUGAAAUCAUAGUACCUGUGAAGAUGCAGGUUACCCGCGACAGGACGGAAAGACCCCGUGGAGCUUUACUGUAGCCUGAUAUUGAAAUUCGGCACAGCUUGUACAGGAUAGGUAGGAGCCUUUGAAACGUGAGCGCUAGCUUACGUGGAGGCGCUGGUGGGAUACUACCCUAGCUGUGUUGGCUUUCUAACCCGCACCACUUAUCGUGGUGGGAGACAGUGUCAGGCGGGCAGUUUGACUGGGGCGGUCGCC